Long non-coding RNA from Frieseomelitta varia, 1468 nucleotides. RefSeq lists it as uncharacterized. The transcript has 3 exons. The record is from RefSeq and is a predicted model, not a curated record. Lineage: Eukaryota; Metazoa; Arthropoda; Insecta; Hymenoptera; Apidae.
AAAUAGCAUAAAAGAAUACAUUUUGCAUGCGUUAUGUAAGAUACAAAAUAAGUCGAAGAAAUUCACGAAAAAAUUCAUAAUAAUUGUGGUAGCAACAAUUAAUCGGCAAAAUAAAUUUUAUUUCUUUCUGUUUUAAACUAUUCGACAAAUUAAGAUUAUCGGUAUUCAUUGAUACCAGCUCAUCUAUUCGUGCUAUAAUUAUUUCUUGGAACAUUCCCAACGAGCCAGUAAAAGCUUUACACGGUCUGUAAAGACCUUCGAAAUAUCUCCUGAACAGAACUGGAACUAUCAAACAAUAUAAAGCAAUAGUAAUUAAGAAGAAAGGGAGAUUUAAUUAAGAAGAAAGGGAUGGGUAGAAUCGUUUGGCAAAAUUAGAUCUAUGAUAAAAAGCAACAGUGCAACCAUCACGUUCGUGCGUUGCGUGUACACACUUUGUGCGAGAAGCAGUUUCGACGGUCACGACGUUUGAAGUUCUUGUAAAAAUAAAAUUUGCAGGACAUUUGCAAUUUAAAAAGGCAUUGCAAACUCAAAUCACACAACUGUGCCAAGCGGAAAAUUAAAAGAUCUAGGCAUUGAAUGUUAGGGAACGCGGAUGAUCUAAAUAUAAAGAAAUUGAAUAGUAGAAUGAAUGAUAUGUUAUAUUUCUUUAGAACUGCCUCACUUGUAUCCACGAUUGAUAAUUGAGAUCAGACAGACCGAGUGGAAAUAAAACGUUGCAACUUUGUUACAUGACUAACGAUGAUUAAAUAAUAUUUGGCAAUCUUCUAACUCUCCCACAAAAUUAUAUACAAAAGUAAAUCAAACAUCAUUCAAUGUAAAAUCUCACUGUAUUGGAAAAAAGAACAGGAGAAGGCAAAUAUGCAAUAAAUCUUCUCUGAUGCGUGUGGUAAAUAUAAGCAAAUAUGUAUAUAUAUGUGUGUGUGUGUGUGUGUGUGUGUAUUUAUAUAUAUACAAAAUGUACGGUCCUCACAAUCAGUCAAUUGUUCUGUCAAUGCUUUCUAAUCGUUUUAACGUAGAUGUCAACACAUUCUGCGGCAUGUACAUGCUCAAGGAUGUUACUCAAACUAAAAUGGAUAAGUAUGGAAUAUGUAAAUAUGAGUUUUGGAAACGAAAUCGUGAUUAAAUUCAGUUAAAUAUACUUGGAUAAACCAUAUCAAUAAUAUCCAUAAUCGAGCCUGCUUAUAUACAUGCAACUUCAAACUGUUAAAUGUUUAGUAUUGUACUUCACUUAUGUUCUUAAACACUAACAGCUGAUCAAAUACUAUGUUAGAUACUUAAUCCACAGCUGUUCCCUAAAUUUUUUAGAUCAAUAAUUUCAUCUUUUUAUCGUAUUUAAUAGAAAGACAACAUUUUUACUUAUGGUAUUAUACAAAAUAUAAGAUGCAAAUGUAUGCAUACAGUUGUAAACACAUAUCUGUUUACAUGUAAUAUAAUGUUAUGCUUACAUGUUAUAUGUCAUAUAAAUAAU